UUUCCGUAGGUGAACCUGCGGAAGGAUCAUUGUCGAGACCGAAAUAUAAAUCGAGCGAUCUAGAGAACAUGUGAAUCGAGUGAUGGUUGCCGCCAUCGCGGGAUGUCCGGCCUGGCUGUCACCACAACCUCCUCAGCGGGGAGAGCGGGGGCAGGACCGUGGGCGAUAAAAACACAAAUCGGCGCAGCAUCGCGCCAAGGAAAAAUUCGAAGGCACGAGCCCCGUGAAGGGCUCGUUGGUGUGGGGUGCAGCAGCACCCCAUGCGGUUGGACACGACUCUCGGCAAUGGAUAUCUCGGCUCUCGCAUCGAUGAAGAGCGCAGCGAAAUGCGAUAUGUGGUGCGAUUUGCAGAAUCCCGCGAACCAUCGAGUCUUUGAACGCAAGUUGCGCCCGAGGCCAGCAGGCCAAGGGCACGUCCGCCUGGGCGUCAAGCAUUGCGUCGCUCCGUGCCAGCUCUGACACCAUUUUUUAUGUUGUUUGAGGCUCGGAUGUGCAGAGUGGCUCAUCGUGCUCGUCGGUGCGGUGGGCUGAAGAUCGGGUAACGUCUCGUUGGCUGCGAACAAUAAGGGAUGGGUGAAUGCUGUGAGCGUAGCCUGCGUUGUCUCGUGUUGGCCCAAGAGGCGGAUUGCGCCUUCAAGGUGAUCCCGACCCAUGCGUCGUUCCCAUGCGGSCGGCGGCUUGGAAUGCGACCCCAGGAUGGGCGAGGCCACCCGCUGAGCUUAA
Molecule: small RNA, 723 nt
Filed under: Cycnoches ventricosum
Lineage: Eukaryota; Viridiplantae; Streptophyta; Magnoliopsida; Asparagales; Orchidaceae
Description: eukaryotic LSU rRNA
Rfam family: 5.8S ribosomal RNA (bases 275-430)
Source: RNAcentral